AACGAACGCUGGCGGCAGGCCUAACACAUGCAAGUCGAACGAAGGCCCGGAGCUUGCUCCGGUGUCCUUAGUGGCAGACGGGAUAGUAACGCGUGGGAAUUUGCCCAAUAGUACGGAAUAACUGCGGGAAACUGCAGCUAAUACCGUAUACGCCCUCCGGGGGAAAGAUUUAUCGCUAUUGGAUAAGCCCGCGUCGAAUUAGCUUGUU
This 208-nucleotide ribosomal RNA is filed under the name uncultured bacterium. Its description in RNAcentral is "partial 16S ribosomal RNA". It matches the Rfam family "Bacterial small subunit ribosomal RNA", at positions 29 to 250 of the family's 1533-position model. The record is from RNAcentral.